RNAcentral lists this ribosomal RNA (1434 nucleotides) under uncultured organism. RNAcentral describes it as "16S ribosomal RNA". It matches the Rfam family "Bacterial small subunit ribosomal RNA". The record is from RNAcentral.
GCUUAACACAUGCAAGUCGAGGGGCAGCAUUUCAGUUUGCUUGCAAACUGGAGAUGGCGACCGGCGCACGGGUGAGUAACACGUAUCCAACCUGCCGAUAACUCGGGGAUAGCCUUUCGAAAGAAAGAUUAAUACCCGAUGGCAUAAUUAGACCGCAUGGUCUUAUUAUUAAAGAAUUUCGGUUAUCGAUGGGGAUGCGUUCCAUUAGGCAGUUGGUGAGGUAACGGCUCACCAAACCUUCGAUGGAUAGGGGUUCUGAGAGGAAGGUCCCCCACAUUGGAACUGAGACACGGUCCAAACUCCUACGGGAGGCAGCAGUGAGGAAUAUUGGUCAAUGGGCGCAGGCCUGAACCAGCCAAGUAGCGUGAAGGAUGACUGCCCUAUGGGUUGUAAACUUCUUUUAUAUGGGAAUAAAGUUUUCCACGUGUGGAAUUUUGUAUGUACCAUAUGAAUAAGGAUCGGCUAACUCCGUGCCAGCAGCCGCGGUAAUACGGAGGAUCCGAGCGUUAUCCGGAUUUAUUGGGUUUAAAGGGAGCGUAGGUGGACAGUUAAGUCAGUUGUGAAAGUUUGCGGCUCAACCGUAAAAUUGCAGUUGAUACUGGCUGUCUUGAGUACAGUAGAGGUGGGCGGAAUUCGUGGUGUAGCGGUGAAAUGCUUAGAUAUCACGAAGAACUCCGAUUGCGAAGGCAGCUCACUGGACUGCAACUGACACUGAUGCUCGAAAGUGUGGGUAUCAAACAGGAUUAGAUACCCUGGUAGUCCACACAGUAAACGAUGAAUACUCGCUGUUUGCGAUAUACAGUAAGCGGCCAAGCGAAAGCAUUAAGUAUUCCACCUGGGGAGUACGCCGGCAACGGUGAAACUCAAAGGAAUUGACGGGGGCCCGCACAAGCGGAGGAACAUGUGGUUUAAUUCGAUGAUACGCGAGGAACCUUACCCGGGCUUAAAUUGCAUUUGAAUAAUCUGGAAACAGGUUGGCCGCAAGGCAAAUGUGAAGGUGCUGCAUGGUUGUCGUCAGCUCGUGCCGUGAGGUGUCGGCUUAAGUGCCAUAACGAGCGCAACCCUUAUCUUUAGUUACUAACAGGUCAUGCUGAGGACUCUAGAGAGACUGCCGUCGUAAGAUGUGAGGAAGGUGGGGAUGACGUCAAAUCAGCACGGCCCUUACGUCCGGGGCUACACACGUGUUACAAUGGGGGGGGUACAGAAGGCAGCUACCUGGUGACAGGAUGCUAAUCCCAAAAGCCUCUCUCAGUUCGGAUCGAAGUCUGCAACCCGACUUCGUGAAGCUGGAUUCGCUAGUAAUCGCGCAUCAGCCAUGGCGCGGUGAAUACGUUCCCGGGCCUUGUACACACCGCCCGUCAAGCCAUGAAAGCCGGGGGUACCUGAAGUACGUAACCGCAAGGAGCGUCCUAGGGUAAAACUGGUAAUUGGGGC